GCCAACAUUUCUCAAAGAAAACUCCUUGAUUUGGGUUAAGGAGGCGAGGAAGUAACCACGUAGUUUUCGAGGUUGUUGAGUUCAGUAGACAUAACAUAAAUAUAUAAAUAGGUUAUAAUAAUACACAACAACCUUUAGUCAGGGUUCCCAGAAGCUUAAAUGGGUUUCCGAUUACCACUUCAUCUUCUUCCUUGAAACCACGCAUCUCAUGGCAAUGGCGCUCGACGCUGCAGUUUGGAUCGCAAAGAUGACAUGGAUUGCUCUCAGUGGCUGGAUUAGUUCUUGUUUAACUGUUGCUGAUGAAUUUGCCUCUUCUCUACGUUCUGGCGAUAUUGGCCCUUUUCAUGUGGGUUGACUCAAUUAUGUCUUUUUCUUCCAACGGUAAUGGCUACACAGCAUCACUUUUUUGUACUUUUCGAUUGCCCUUCAAACUAGGCUUGAUUUGAUGUACUGGGUAUGUGUCAAAACCUGUUCUUUUAGUCUUGCUUGUGCGUUUUGAGCUGGAGUCUAGUGGGUGGUUCUUGUUUGUAUUUUUGGGUUAGAGAAAAGGGUGUGUUUGUGUUGUGAGAUUGGGUUUCCUUGAUUUGGGAAAUUGCGAUUUCUUGUUUAAGGGUGUUUGUUGCAGGUUGUUGAUUGCUUUGUUUCGGGAUGAAUUCGAAUGCUAACACGAUAGGGGUAAGUCUGGAGGAUCACAUUUGGUUUGGCAUUUUUUUGCUCUGUUAAGUAGAAAAUAUUAGGUUGGCUUAUUAUAUAUGGUCCAUUCUCUGUCUGUGGUGUUCAAUGUAAGAAGAGUUAAUGCGUUAAUAGAAUGAGAACAUCUAAGAGUAAGUUGGCCCAUCUGUUGUUGUGAUGUUCUUUUCAUCUUGUUGUCAUGUUUGAUGAGAAUUACUGCUUGGGAUUGAAUAUUCAACUUAUGAAAACAAUCUCUGAAUCUGUUUUCGUUGCUCUG
Unclassified non-coding RNA from Vigna unguiculata (cowpea), 949 nucleotides. NCBI's taxonomy places the organism in Eukaryota, Viridiplantae, Streptophyta, Magnoliopsida, Fabales, Fabaceae. The record is from RefSeq and is a predicted model, not a curated record.